GACGUAGGGGGCCAGCGUUGCUCGGAAUAACUGGGCGUAAAGGGUCCGUAGGCGGUGUGGCAAGUCGGGAGUGAAAUCUCUGGGCUUAACCCAGGGGCUGCUUCCGAAACUGCCGUGCUAGAGUGCGAGAGAGGUGAGUGGAAUUGCAGGUGUAGCGGUGAAAUGCGUAGAUAUCUGCAGGAACACCCGUGGCGAAGGCGGCUCACUGGAUCGCAACUGACGCUGAGAGACGAAAGCUAGGGGAGCAAACAGGAUUAGAUACCCUGGUAGUCCUAGCCCUAAACGAUCAGAACUUGGGGUGCAUCCCGUUGGGGGUGCGUCCCGUAGCUAACGCGUUAAGUUCUGCGCCUGGGGAGUACGGUCGCAAGACUGAA
RNAcentral lists this ribosomal RNA (374 nucleotides) under uncultured bacterium. RNAcentral describes it as "bacterial SSU rRNA". It matches the Rfam family "Bacterial small subunit ribosomal RNA", at positions 524 to 898 of the family's 1533-position model. The record is from RNAcentral.